RNAcentral lists this long non-coding RNA (652 nucleotides) under Pan troglodytes (chimpanzee). RNAcentral describes it as "long non-coding RNA NONPTRT004288". Lineage: Eukaryota; Metazoa; Chordata; Mammalia; Primates; Hominidae. The record is from RNAcentral.
AGGCCUGACACCGACAAGACAUGUCAGGCAACCCUCAGGUGAUAGGCAGUUGUUAAACUGUCUCUUUAAAAUAAUAAUUGGUCACAGUCAAUGCCAGGGAAAGGCACUCUCCCGAGAGAUAAACACCUGAAGCUGGUGAUCAGCGACUUCCUGAUAUGAUCUCAGGAGUUGAGCGAGUGGUCUCACGCAUGCACACUAAGAGGCAAAAUGGCGGAGUUUUACUGGUAUAUGACCUGCCUCUAAGAAUACUCCACUGGUAAAGGAAAAACGCCUCAAGUGAGGAUGCAUAGAACUUCAGUAAACACACUGUGCACAUGGCCCCUCCAAAGUGCUGGCAGACCACUUAGCAUGUGGACAGCCCACGCCACGGAAGAAUCGGGGAAGAAGAGACACAGACACCAGAAGAAUGCCAACAUAUAAAAGCCCAAGUCAAAGGUCUAACUGCACACUCAAGUCACCCACUUGGUCCUCUUCCAAGUGUACUUUACCUCCUUUUGUUCCUGCUCUAAAACAUUUUAAUAAACUUUCACUCUUCUGAUACAUGCCUAUUAAACAUGCAUGUAACAUACAACCCAUGUUUACAUUGGGGUGGAGAUUUAACAUUUAAUUGUAUUACAAUUAGGUCCUAUAUGUCAAAAGGUCUUAUUUUCAG